UGUUGCGUCUAAUGAGAAAUAUUCAUUUUAUUCUCAUACUCUACAGCGUUUCCCUGUAUAACCAAAUGUUUUAGGGUCACUACUAUUUUCUGCCUUCCCUAUCACUAAUUUUUAUGUUUAUUCUAUCAUCAAAUGGGUCUUGAACCCUUUGCUAUUUUUUUUGACAUGUUUUGUUUGACUGUGAAUUCGGGUAUGAAAUCUUUUAAGUUGUUAGAAAUAAAAUUUACAUAUUUGAAAACUAGUAAACUAACAAUAAAAUUAGUUUGAACCUUGAAAUUUGGAAGGUGCCACGUUAAUUUGGACGGAGGGAGUAUAUGUUAUGGCUAAUUUCUUAAUGAUAUCUAUGACUUCAUGGAUGUGCCCAAAAAAUGUGAUGGAAAAUGUUUUACCUUCGAGAAUUAUUCCUUUUUGCUUUUCUGAAUCAAUCUUUUGAUGUUGGUUAAUAUUUAGUUUGUCGUUUACAACUUGUUUGGAUGGUUGUUACCUAUUGUAUUUUACUGUGUUGUUCGUUUAAAUACGAUGCUUGUUUUAUUGAAGCGGUAACAACAUAAAAUCGAUUUGGCCUGAUCGUGUUGUUACCUUAUUAUUUUACCUUACCUUUUCAUAAUAGCUUGUCCUCUUACGGUCGUACCCUACUUUUCUUGUAGGUUUAUCCUUCAAAUUUAUGAAAAGAUAUAUAACAACCAUCCAAACAAGGUGUAAGGGUGGUGUGAGGUUGUAGUAGUAGAAUAUGAGAAAUUGCUCAAUGAGGUAUAGGAUAGUAGUGAGUAGCAAAAAUUUAUUAUUGAGUUGGAUUUAAAUAUACUUGUAAAAGAAAAUGAAUUACACCCUAAAGGACAUAGAAAUACAACUUUUGACACUUUAGAGGAAUCAACUGCUGAGAAAUGAUUCAUUAAGCAAAAACAUUGUAGGUAAUACCAAAACAUUGAUUUUUCUGAAUUUGUUGAGUUUAUGUCAAAGUUUGUAUCAAUUUCGGGGUGUCUAGGAAACAAAGAUUGCUGUCUUUACUCUGUUAUAAGUCUUUUUUCGUGUAUGAGAUCCUAGGGGCAGCAGUGUUAAAUACUUACGGUGACUAUUUAGCAAUAUCCCAUUGAAAUGCCACUGAUAGACCAAUUUUCUUUCCCUUCCUAAUGAUUUGGUUAUAAGGAAGCACCUUGGUAGAAGUACAAUAGUAUGUUUUAUGCCCAAAGCAAGAUUUUCGGAAUUAUGGUUAGGCAGAGAAGAGUUGAUUUUAAGGACUGGUUUCUACAGUCUGGUAGGGUACCGUUUUUGGACAUUUUAAAUUGUAACUUUGCUGUUUUUAGACUGUCAAAUGUAUGAUUAGUCAGAGUAUGGAACUUUGGCUUCUCUGUUGGUACAAAGGAUGACCGGAAAAUGGCAUGAGAGAGUGCAUUAUAGUCCCAAAUAUUUUGCACUUUUGGGUGAAGGAAACAAAACAAGUCUGAUCAACAAAACUAGUGGCAGAAUUUUAUGACCUGUGAUUAUAAUUGUUACAGAUACUAUGUUUAAAGCUCUAAAAUUAUAACUCUUAUUAUUUGUAUAGCAAGUAGCAACAGUAUCAGCAAUUUAAUGGUUUUCCAAAUUGUACCCUGAUUCAUUUUUUGUUGAAAGAAGUUCAGUAACCAAUUGAGAGCACAAUUUGCAAUUCGUGUUUCUCAUCGAUAUAAAAUUUUCUUACACUUUUCCUUCUUGUCUCAGAAAAGAAGUGAUUGUUUUGUGUGGAUCGUUAUGUGUGUUCAGUAAAGGAAGAAUCUAGCAGCACGCGGGAUCAUAUUUGUGGAAACACGAGAUAGUAUGUUUUGACUGAUCGACAUGGUCGUUAUACCUGCCUCUGGAAAGAACCAGACGAAAGGGAAAAAUAUCUUCAACAAACAUUUAUAAAGAAAGGCUUUACAUGCAGAAAAAGUGUCACUAGCUGAAUAGUCUUUGGACAUCUUUUGGACUAUAAUUAGUAACCCCUGUAUAGCAUCUACUUGGAAAGUGUAGCAACAGAAAAGUUUCGCAGGCCCUGGAAUCCUAUUUUGUCAUUGAUGAUAGUGAUGCACACGAAGUGGCGACGUCUUUUUCGCUUUAUGCGUUCCUGAGGUGACUUUUCAGCAGAGACAUCCAUCACUUUUGAAAAUGUCUCUGAAUGCUAGAUUACCUUAAUAAUCCUCCAUAGCAGGCAUCCCGUAUUCAACCGCAGGAGAUUGAUGAAAUUAAGCGACUAUUGGACGUAGUGUAUAAAAGUUAUGAUUUACCUUAUGCUCAGACAUGGAUACCUUGUAAAUACCUAAAUUUUGUUGCAAGUAAAGCCAGCAGCGAUGCCAAAUUUAAUGCAGGAUAUAGUGAAGAAGUCAUUUUGAUUACUGAUGGACCUUGGUAUGCUUCAGAUGAUCACCAAGCUGAUUUUCUAUUAAAUUUUGGCAUGGCAUGUGAUUCUCAUUAUUUUCGAAGUGGGAGAGGUGUUGUGGGGAGGGUAUUUUCAUCUCGUUGGGCAAGCUUCUGUGACAACGUAUCCAGAUUCAGCACAAGCGAGUUUCCGGUGACACCCCGUGCACAUUUAUAGGGUUGACCGAUUGUUUUGCUAAUUAUUUGCGAAGUACCAAUGCUGGAAACAGUGAAUACAUACUCGAAUUCUAUUUGUCCUACUGCAGAAAGGAUGAUAAAGUGGAGCAAAAGCUAUUGGACUCCAUAUUAGUGAUAAUGAGGGAGCAUUCUUCAACCUUCAAGGUUGGUUCAGGAGAAGAAAUCAGAGACGAGUUAUCAGUUGAAGCAUACUCUCUGUGCCUCAGAAAAGUGAUUAUCUUCAUGGGCCACUAGCAACUAGUACUCCAUCUUGGACUGGGAAUGCUGGGACUGGAUGUUAGCCAAUGUAGCAGCAUCUCUUUGGAAGUACUGACCUUGUGCCAAAUGGCAGUAAUCUUCUUAACAUGGAAAAAGGCGUAAUAUAGUUUGAACGAAUUAUCUACUGUGACCUCUGACAAAGCAGAUGGGAGAACUAAUUUUUUGAUCACUUACAAGGAUCUGAAGCAAAAGUUCGGCUUCAAACUUGAAGAUGCGGCAGAGAAACUUGAUGAAGUUAGCCGAUCUACACUGAAGCGAAUAUGCAGACAGUACAAUAUACCGAAAUGACCAUCUUAUAUGAUGGUAAAGGUGGAUCACUCCCCUGGGGAACCUUGUAAGAGUCAUUUGACAUCUUCCAAACCCACUCCUAAGCAAGACGUAGUUCCACUUUGUAGUGAAAAGCACAUACUACAGUAAAGGCUUAAUAUAAAGAAGACAUUUGAUUUCAUUGAUAGUCGCUCAAUUUUCACUUUAUUGCAAUAAAAUCACUAACUAUCCUUUGUUCACGGAAAAAUCAAUCUAUUUACCCUUAUUACUAGACUUUUUUCUUUAACACAAAGGUCACUCAACUUUGUCUAAGUAUCACAGAAAGUCAUUGGAAGCAGCAGACAAAAGAAACUUUUUAUAUUGAAUGACUUUUUUGGUUUCAACAAAAUUGUUUAGUGACUUGAUGUGAUACUUAGGCCAAAGUUGAAUAAUUUAUUUGUUACAAAAAACAGUCUGACUUUAUGUGAUACUUCGACGAAGUUGAGUGAUUUUUAUGAUGCAAAAGCCAAAAAGUAGUUUUGUGACUUUGGUGCAUAAAAUAAAAGAUGAGUGACCAUUUGUGAAAUUACCCCUAAAGUUGCAUGCACAUCCUCAUCAAGAUUGACAGAUUUGCUGGAAGAAGUAACAAAAAGGCUCAAAUUAAAGAGUGGAAGGUUCAUGCUUAAGUAUUCAGAUGAAGAUGGUGAAUGGAUUCUCAUAGCCUGUAGCAGAGAUCUAGGAAAUUAUAUUGCUGCUGUAAGAUUUUGGAAAAAGCUGCCAUCACCAUCUCAAUUCAACCAAUUGGGCACUGGAAGCCUUUGUGCCAAUUGCAGUUCUGGAUUUUGGAAGAGGAUUUCCUAAUAGAUGAAUCCCAAUUAAAAGAUAUGGUGUAAUUAGAGACGUUAAUUCUUAGACAAUACUUAGGCAUAUGGGAAGAAAUUAUUUAAGCGUACUUUGCCUCUACUAGUAUUUGAACCCUGAAUCCUAUUCUAUCAUGAUUUUUAUUCUACU
Lycium barbarum (goji berry) is the source of this 4083-nucleotide long non-coding RNA. RefSeq lists it as uncharacterized. The record is from RefSeq and is a predicted model, not a curated record. NCBI's taxonomy places the organism in Eukaryota, Viridiplantae, Streptophyta, Magnoliopsida, Solanales, Solanaceae. The transcript has 3 exons.